UCCAGACUCCUACGGGAGGCAGCAGUCGGGAAUAUUGCGCAAUGGAGGAAACUCUGACGCAGUGACGCCGCGUGCAGGAAGAAGGUUUUCGGAUUGUAAACUGCUUUAGACAGGGAAGAUAAUGACAGUACCUGUAGAAUAAGCUCCGGCUAACUACGUGCCAGCAGCCGCGGUAAUACGUAGGGAGCAAGCGUUAUCCGGAUUUAUUGGGUGUAAAGGGUGCGUAGACGGGAAUGCAAGUUAGUUGUGAAAUCCCUCGGCUUAACUGAGGAACUGCAACUAAAACUACAUUUCUUGAGUGCUGGAGAGGAAAGUGGAAUUCCUAGUGUAGCGGUGAAAUGCGUAGAUAUUAGGAGGAACACCGGCGGCGAAGGCGGCCUGCUGGACCGUGACUGACGUUGAGGCUCGAGAGCGUGGGUAGCAAACAGGAUUAGAUACCCCCG
Molecule: ribosomal RNA, 443 nt
Filed under: uncultured bacterium
Lineage: Bacteria
Description: bacterial SSU rRNA
Rfam family: Bacterial small subunit ribosomal RNA
Source: RNAcentral